CUGAGAUCCAUAAUCGAACAGAAGUAACCAAUAACCAUCCCCCCUCUGCUCUCCCUCGCCCCUCCCUUCUUUUCUUUCCCCAUACUUCAGUCUCUGCUUUCGUCUUAUCUUCAAAAGGCUAGUAUUGAAAAUGCUGCCAAGAGCAUUGACGAUUGUGAACAGUGGGGCUAAUAUUGGCUUCUUGAGGCUAUUUACAAGAUAUGUAUCCAUUUCAAGCAGAGCUGUAAUGGACAUUGCUGGUAAAGAUGGGGAACUAAGAGUGUUCAUUGUUGCUGGGGAGGUUUCAGGGGAUACUAUUGGUUCUCGUCUUAUGGCGUCCUUGAAGAAGCUCUCUCCUACUCCCGUUCGUUUUUCUGGGGUUGGAGGGUAAGUAAGUUAUUAGUUUAGCUGCUAUUUUUCAGUAAUUAUCUGUUCUUUGAAAGUAUUUGCUUAAUUUAGUGGAUGUAAAAAUUUGGUUUUGUUUUAAAUUAUAGAUGCACCAUGUCAUUGGCAUAUAUGAACUAUGUAAAAGUUCGUGUUGUCAUAGUUUCUUUUUGAAUUUAUGUUGGUAAAGCACAUUCCUUUUGAAGAAAAUAUUAAAACAUGGAUUCUAAUCCACGAUCAUGCCAAAAACCUAGGAUCCAAAACUUAUAUCACUUAUUCACAAUAUAAUCCCAUGUUAAGCAAGACGAAUUAUAUUAUAUUUUAUAGCCAGUUUAGAUGUACCUUAGAUGCAGAAACAAAUUGCUUCAAUAAAAUGUUGAGAGUUGUCAACCAAGAACCAAGUCUAUAUGCACACACAAAAAACUUCAUGAAUGCUCCUUCUUCACUGUUUAUUUGCAAUAUGUUUUGGUCCCUUUUAUCACUGUUUAUUAUUGUAUAUUGAAGGAAAUGGCCAUUUGGCCUUUCAUACAUUUACAUGUUUGUGACUGACUGAGUGACUGCCAUAGCAGUUACAUGUUACAGUUUUGACCUUCUUUUUGAAAAAUAUUAGUAACCAAAAUCAAUGGAUCCUGGUUUGACCUACAUGGGUGACCCAGACCCAAAUUCCUUCACCUUUCUUCGUUGCAGGAAUAAAUUUCUGUAAAACCUGAAUACCAAUAUGAGUGAGGAUUUUUUUUUUUCCUUUAAUUGUCACUUUUUUUUUUAAAUGUCUAGGUCUGGGACCUAUUAAUUCUUAUCUACUGUGUUCUUUGAAAAUGUUCUUUCCGUUUGUGUAAGGUCAAUGAUGUCCAAGGAAGGAAUGGAAUCUCUGUUCCCAAUGGAGGACAUUGCAGUAAUGGGCAUAUGGGAGUUGUUACCACAUCUGAAUAAGAUCAGAGCAAAGUUGAAGGAAACAAUUGAGGCUGCUCUUCUAUUUCAGCCUCAUGUUGUUGUGACAGUGGACUCCAAAGGAUUCUCAUUUCGUCUCCUAAAGCAGUUGAGAGGUAACAUGAACCACUCUCUUGCUAUUAGCAUCAAUCCUUGCGCACUGCUUAUGCAAUAAGUCUGUUGUAGGAAAAUAGGAAAAUGAUUUUUGCAGCUAGAUACAGUUGGCAAAGAUUGGAUAGUCCUGUACACUUCCAUUAUGUGGCACCAUCAUUUUGGGCGUGGAAAGGGGGAGAAGCAAGACUCCAAGGUCUAGCCAAUUUUGUGGAUCAUGUUUUUUGUAUACUUCCAAACGAGGAAACAGUUUGUAAGUCUAAUGGAUUGGCUGCAACCUUUGUGGGCCAUCCCAUUCUGGAAGAUGUUUUGGCAUUGAAUUUGGUAUGGAUUAAUCUGCUAAUGUUGGAAUAUAUUCAGGAUCAAUAAAUUCCUAUAUAUAAAUUGUCAUUCUUUAAGGUUCCUAUGAAAAUUUUAAUCUUAAAACGUGUUAAAAAAGGCUGAUAUGUUAGGCAGAACAUGUUUUGUACAUGUGUAUUCACCCUAUGUGAUGCUUGAAAUGAUUACUUACACGGUGAAAAUUUAUUCUUAAUGCUGAUUAAUUUCUAACACAUUAAAGGCUUAUGAUGUGUAGGGAAAGCAAAUCUCACCAUUUGAAUGCAAAAUAGAGGGAAAAAAUGAAGAUUUCCGAAGUAAAUUUGCAAUACCUCCUGGUAAUGUAAAAGUCAUGAAUGAUUUGGUUUCUUAUAUUCAUCUCAAAAUUUUGGUGUUAUUGAAAACCUUAUGGCCUGCAUCAAGUUGCAAAGUAUAUUAUGUUCUUGAAUUAUUAGUGACUGGCAGGGAGGGGCUUAUCUAUAUUAAAUAUCUGAAUACUGCCUUGUCUUAAUGGUUAGUGAAUUUUGUCUUUAAAAGGUGCCACAGUCAUUUCCUUGCUUCCGGGAAGCAGAUUACAAGAGGUCUCUAGGAUGCUUUCAAUCUUUGCAAAUACCAUGGAACAGUUAAAAGACUCUUUUCUUGAGUUAAUUAAUGUCAUUCACAUAGCACCGAAUCAGGAUGUGGAGAAUUACAUAAGGAGUUUUGUUAAUAAGUGGCCUGUGCCUGUUAUAUUGAUUCCCGGAGGUCAACCACACACAAAAUACGAUGCCUUUAGUGUAAGUCAUUUUGCUCUUCUUUGUUAUUACCAAUAGAAUUGUAUGAGAAAUAUCUGAGAUGGAACAAAUGAGAGUUGCAACCACUGAGUUCAGGGGUUGUAUGAGAGUGUACCUGUCUUCCAAUUAAGGAUUUGCCAGCUCCUGGUAAUUCUUAUGGAUGCAAAGUGGAGACGAAAAGUCGAUCUGGUAGGAGCAGCCAAGUCUUUAGUCAGAACCUGUUGGAGUUGGGUAUAAUUCUCUGUGCUUUUCUGUCGAGGGUGCUGUCAGUUCGACAUACUUCAUUUUGGUUAGCAGUGUCUGCAUAUUGUUUAUAGUUGGUCAUGUUUCUUAAUUAGUCUUUGGGCUCAAUUGGUAUCUAUUGGUGAGUGCUUAAUUUUUCUAUGGGUAUAUUGAAGUAUAUGACUGUGGUCAAAACAUUUAGUUAAUUUUUUGGACUAGUAACCAAUAAAAUCCAAAGGUGUUGGCCUUUUUCAAUUUUGACUAUGUUAAAAUUAUCAAUAAUUGCCACGGAUUUCAAUACUUGAACCAAUUCCAGCCAUCAAUAAGCUUCUAUCUAGCAAAUUAGGAUUUGGUUACUUGUAAAAAAAUGUAGUAGUCUUCUGGAAAAAUUUUAUAAGAAAAUUGGAAAAUAGAGUUUUAUGUUUAAAUGUGCCCAUUUUCCAAAUGUAGAGUUUUCCAAAAUUUAACUAAGAUUUGUAAGUUUUCCACUGUUUUCUUUUAUAAUAAAAGUCCUGUUUUCCAAAUGGAAAACAAUAACUUAUCUAUAAUAAAAAUUCUACUAUUUUAUU
Molecule: unclassified non-coding RNA, 3280 nt
Filed under: Hevea brasiliensis (rubber tree)
Lineage: Eukaryota; Viridiplantae; Streptophyta; Magnoliopsida; Malpighiales; Euphorbiaceae
Source: RNAcentral